RNAcentral lists this long non-coding RNA (2365 nucleotides) under Daucus carota (carrot). RNAcentral's name for it is "long non-coding RNA (DCAR_LNC000106)". The record is from RNAcentral. Lineage: Eukaryota; Viridiplantae; Streptophyta; Magnoliopsida; Apiales; Apiaceae.
UUAUUAGGAUUUUAAAUUAUGUUACAAAAUAUUAUAGUAUUCAAUCAGGAGUUUAAAUUAUUCCUAAAAUCCAAUGAUAUUCAAUUUAUAUUAUUUAGUAUCCAUUAAAAUCCGUUAAAUAUUCAAAUACUGAUGAAUAUUUUUGGAAUUCAUAAAAUAAUAGAUUUUAAGAGAUUGUUCACUAUAUUUUAUUAUAUAUUUUAUGUCAUUACUGUUGGCAUGACCCGUUACAUAAAGUAGAUAAUUCUUUGCAUUGGAAAAUCAAAUAUUGAAAAGAUAAUCGACUAUAUAAUAAAAAUCCAUUAAAGAAUAUAUUUAUUUGACAGAUUAACGUGAGAAACGUAUAAUUUAUGAUGGGACCCACAAAAUCUAACUAAAUGCAGUAUCAAAAUAAUAUCUAGCAGAUUCUGAUAUGUGCACGUAACGCCUGGUCCAGCUACUAUAUAACGACUGUUGUACAUUCCCAGAGAAUUGUGUGUAGCAAACAUGUCUCCGGUUAAAGAUUGUGACAAGCACAACAAGAUGCAGGGUGUGAUGUGCUAAAAUAUUACCUUUUAAAAUCGCAAGCGCACGAUCACCGUUUUAAUAUUUAAGAUUCGUCCACAGAGAUUAAAAUUAUUUUCGCAACCUAUUAUUAUUAACCUAGGCGGAUUAGAACCAUAUUUUUAGAAUUUCGGGUUUAUUAGCUAAUUAAUGAGCAGGAGAAAUUGACUACUAAUUCGAAUACAACCAAUUAAACUAGAAAUUAACUAAAAUUAAACUCGCAAAUACAAGACUUAAAAGUUACAAAUAAUUAAGAAAGUUUCUGCAUGAUAUCUCUAAAAACUAAGCUAGCCUGUAACAUAUUAUUAUCAACAGAAGAUAACCACGUUGGCUACCCAGCCAUUUACUUAAUCUAAAAGAAAUAUAAAAUGAAAUAAACUAGGCACAUGUACUAAAUACACUCACAAAAACAAUUCCUACACCAAGCUAAACGCGGGGUCACUGAACCUAGUAAACUAACAUGACGCUAUAAAGGAAAUAAAAGAAAACUACAGAAAGUUAUACUCCACUGCUAGACUUAAAAAUAAAAGAAACGAAGCAAGCCAACAACUCGAAAAACAUGAACUAAUCAAAACAACUCGGUAAAAGAACAUGGACUCGUUGAAUUAACUCGGAAUAAACUCGGCUUGCGACACAGCUACUGGCUAAGAACAGACUCAACAAAGCAUAGGAGACUCGACCCACAAACUCGACGCAGCCAAAACAGCCGAUCCAAACUAAGCUUGCAAGAAACGAACUCAGCUUUGGACUCGGGAAGAAACAGGGGACUCAGUAAAAGAAAGCACAGCAGGAAACUAACAAACAAAAGCCAACAAUCGAUUGAAAACUUUGAAAUAAACUCAAAGAAACCAGUCUUAAAACUAGACUAAAACGCAACCAACAAUACACAAACUCAGCAACGGCUCAACUCGGUUAUGCAGCCAUAAAGAAACUAAACCCAGUUUAAACUUACGGUAAAUCAACAUUCGACUCACUACACUACUAGCAUAAAAGAGAUACACGCAGCAAUAUUCAAAUGAACAGCCAUGGUGACUUGGCAGAAAUACAAAUCAACAAACCAGAACUCGAAGCAAAACCCAUCAAUUUACAAACCCAAACAAAAACGCAGCAGCAAACUCGCAGACAAAACCAACAAACUCCGCUAAGUUUGACUCGGAAACUCACGCCUUAGACUCGGACAAACAACAGUGAACUCAGCGAAAACAAAACAAAAACUCAGAGCACCACACUGACUCGACCAGGACUCAGUAACACUACUCGACAUUAACUGAAAACAGAUCCCAUGACGCAGACAUUGACUCGGCGAAUACAAAGCAAAACGGCGCAGCAAAAACCAUUAACUUGACUUGGUAUAAGCAGAGUAGUGGUGAUUUUGAACUUAAACUAAAACAGGGGAAAAGAACGUUUAAUUAAAAAGGAACAGGGGACACAAGAGGAGUAUAUGUUUUAACCGAAACAGAGUAAUAAUAAACUGGGUUUGUUAAACGAGGGUUUUUUUUAAUAGCUAAAUUUUUAAUUACUUUUAUAAUUACUAAUUAGCAAUUUAAGCAAUAAAAUCAAGAACAAGAAAAUUUGGGGUUUUAGAUCUAAACCCUAACACAAAUUGAUUUUGUGCUAGGAUUUAGUUGACUAUUUCAAGAGAUCACAAAUCUAUACUACUCACAAGCUCAAUGAUUCUUCAUUUCCCAAAAGCCCUUAAGCAUAUAUGGUGGUACUAAGAAUCAUAUUACUUGUAGAAAGAAAAUAGAGACAACACAAGAUCAAGCUAAAAGAAAAUUUGCACUAAAAUAAAAAGUGUUUACAAAUAUGGUAUGAAAUUGAG